Long non-coding RNA from Triticum aestivum (bread wheat), 1917 nucleotides. RefSeq lists it as uncharacterized. The transcript is spliced from 4 exons. The record is from RefSeq and is a predicted model, not a curated record. NCBI's taxonomy places the organism in Eukaryota, Viridiplantae, Streptophyta, Magnoliopsida, Poales, Poaceae.
CCGCACUGCCGCUAUCCCCGGUGCCGCAACGCCGCCCCUCGCCAGCCGGCGCGGCUCCCCUUACCCAGGCAGUAGCCCACCGGUGCCUCUCACCCCCGCACACGCCGGCAACCCCUGCCCCACAAGGCCCUCGACGACCCACAGCCACCUUUCUCGCACCUCCAUGCCCUCAUCUCCGCCCAGCCGCUCCUCCUCUGCUACCCCACGUAGGCCGCCGAUCCUCUUUUGACGGACGCGAGACCAGGCCGCAGCCCCCGCCACCCCUCCUCUACUACCCCAGGUACGCCUGUGUACAGCGAGGUGCAGACGAGCCGCAUCGCGCACGCGAUGCCCCUCCCCUCCGUCCUCCGCUCCCACUUCACGCUCACUCAAGUGACGGGCAUGCCAGCACCGCCGCGGGAAGCCCCGUCGCAGAUGAGGUCGCCAGUUGUUCCCCAACCUGUACUGUACGGCUAGCCGCGGUGCCAUCGGCCAAGCCGGCUAUUUAGCCGCUCAAGAUCGGCGUCAUGCUUUCUGGUGGCCAGGCUCCAGGGGGCAACAAUGUGAUCUGCUGCAUCUUUGGUUGUGCUCCUGCUGGGAUGUUCUUCCCCUGCCCCAGGCUGUGGUCGCAGCCCUACUGCUGGAUCAUGUAAGCUGGUGCUUGAGAUUGCGACAGCCAAACAGACAACACGGACGCCGCUGCCGCCCGCCGCUCCUCAUCGGCUGCACCUACGAAGCUGCUCCUAAUUAAGGCAUUAAUUGCCGCAAUAGGAGGAGCGCUAAGGAAGGCGCAUCCGACACGUGUUUGCGGUGGCCGCGAAGGCCGGAGAAGAUGAUGGGUUCACACCAAGUUUCUGUGACCCUCUAGAAUAACUAGAAGAUUGGGAUCCAUGACUUCUACAUCGAUCAAAGGUUGGAUCUUUUAGCAGUUUGUUGUUGGGCGUGCCUACUUAAUUACUAAUUUGAUUUGAUAAUUCAGCCGGGAACUGCCGAUAGGGUGUGAAUGAAGUCGUUAAUAUGAUUUCUUUUGUGUGUGUGCUACUGAUGAUAGAUCUCUAAACGUGCAUUUCUCUACUAUGGUUGUCUAUGAGAGCUGUUGCGGUGGAUAAGGCCGACCUGCACCGAUGUAAACUUCAGAUUGAGCUUACAACAAGGCGAGGGACAAACUUGAUUUCUGCAUGAGUUACAUCUUGUAAUGGUAAUGUAUCAUGUUGUGUUCCUGGACUACCAACAUUUCAGAAUGAUGAGCAUUAUGCAUCAGAUUUUUCUCUGGAUGACAAUUGGGAUGGUGGUUGCUUGACUAAAUGAUUUAAAGGCGUAAAUUAAUUAGAGAACAUGGCAUGUGUUCUAAUUUCUGAACCAUAUAGUUCACAUUAAUAUUUUGAAGCUGCAGUAUAUUGUUUUUUAAGUUUGCCACUAACUGUCCCUACACAUGUACAUGCUAAAUUUGUAGCAUUGUUACCUUACAAUAAAAGGAAUCAGAUAAAAAUAAGUAGAUGUAACAACAAAGUAAAUUUUCGUAACAUGUACGACUUCCAAAUUUAUAUUCGAGCUCAUUGCCAGUUCAAAUACGUCUCUUUUGAUGUUAUUAGCGAUGUAAUAAAUUGCUAUAUAUUUUUCCAUUUUAUACAUCAUUGCAAUUAAAAUAAUUUGGUUGACACUGCUUUGGUUAUUGGUUAGGUCUCCAGUGUAAUCUGACAUUGUUUAUGAUGGAAUAGCUUGCUUCUCCAGUCUUCACAACUGAGUUUUGUUUACAUUCAGUCCUAUGUUACUUUAGGAGAAUUCACAGUAGCAUACCUACAAAGCGCAUGCUUUCUCUGAACUUUGUAGCUAAACUAUCUGUUAGCAUAUAUUGCCCUAUGUUACUUUAGGGGAAUUCACAAUGUAGUAUACCUGCAGGUGCUAACUUUCCCUCAACUUUGUAGCUGAACCGUCUGU